UACGAAGGGGGCUAGCGUUGCUCGGAAUCACUGGGCGUAAAGCGCACGUAGGCGGAUUGCUAAGUCAGGGGUGAAAUCCUGGAGCUCAACUCCAGAACUGCCUUCGAUACUGGCGAUCUCGAGUCCGGAAGAGGUGAGUGGAACUCCUAGUGUAGAGGUGGAAUUCGUAGAUAUUAGGAAGAACACCAGUGGCGAAGGCGGCUCACUGGUCCGGUACUGACGCUGAGGUGCGAAAGCGUGGGGAGCAAACAGG
This 253-nucleotide ribosomal RNA is filed under the name uncultured bacterium. Its description in RNAcentral is "partial 16S ribosomal RNA". It matches the Rfam family "Bacterial small subunit ribosomal RNA", at positions 524 to 776 of the family's 1533-position model. The record is from RNAcentral.